UAGCUUUCGAGUGGUUUUGCUAUGUUGUGGUGUACAGGCCCGAGGCGGGCCGUGUUUCAUAACGCACCGUCAGUCUACCCUUUCACCAAACCGUUCCAUGACACUCCCUAUGACCAGGAUCGCGGGCGCUUUGAUAAGGCAAAGAGCAUUCUACGAGAGAACAAAUGGCCUGCGUGGAUGGACCAUGGCGCCGAUGGAACGGGGUUCGGUAUUGGGCUGAAUCGCACACACCCACUCUCUAAACUUCGUGGCAACCUUCGGCGAAACCCCAGCGAAAUCCCACGUGUGCUAAAUAUGAUGAUUCAGGGUGUGUGGCACAAAAGCGGUAACAAGCUGUAUUUUCGAGGCGGCAAGCCGCCGAAUCCCAGCACUCAUCCGUAUCUUACUGGUGAACCAUGCCCAGUGUACGGAUGGAAAGUCACAGACCCGGGAGUGAUUAGAGAGUUCAAUCUUCCACAGUUGGAGAAGAACAAAACAAGGUACAAGCCGUACGUUGCGCUGCAGGAGCGCAAGAUCAUGGGCAUGCAGGCCCCCAUGAAAGAGCAUAGUGCUGUGCCUACUUCAGCAGAGAGCACUGAUUCGAAGCCGCUGAUGAAGCGCCUCUUUUUCUGGAAGUGAGAAUCGCUGCCUUGUCGUUGAGGCUAAUACGCUUACGUAUCACACAUUUGUGGGUUGGACACAGCCCCCUUCCCGAAAAAAAAACCGCACGAAUACAUACGGCACACUGCCACAAUACUCUGCCAAGGUUCGUCGCGGAGGGAAAUAGGAAGUGGCGCUUUAAAAAGUAAUCACUCCUGUUUGUGUAGUGCCUCUUUCGAAUCGGCUGUUUUUUUUUUUUUUGCAGCGCUCAGUUGGUCGCCCUUCGUUCUCACCGUUCAGCUCCCCAGUGGGCAUUGUGCUAUCCACAACUUUGCCUCUCGUCUUCUCCACGUCUUCCUAAAAAAAAAG
This 948-nucleotide unclassified non-coding RNA is filed under the name Leishmania donovani. RNAcentral describes it as "gene:LdHU3.36.5150(CDS-product:hypothetical_prote in_conserved)". The record is from RNAcentral. Lineage: Eukaryota; Euglenozoa; Kinetoplastea; Trypanosomatida; Trypanosomatidae.